AGAGUUUGAUCCUGGCUCAGGAUGAACGCUGGCGGCGUGCUUAACACAUGCAAGUCGAGCGAAGCGAUUUAAGUGAAGUUUUCGGAUGGAUCUUAGAUUGACUGAGCGGCGGACGGGUGAGUAACGCGUGGAUAACCUGCCUCACACAGGGGGAUAACAGUUAGAAAUGACUGCUAAUACCGCAUAAGCGCACGGUACCGCAUGGUACAGUGUGAAAAACUCCGGUGGUGUGAGAUGGAUCCGCGUCUGAUUAGGUAGUUGGUGAGGUAACGGCCCACCAAGCCGACGAUCAGUAGCCGACCUGAGAGGGUGACCGGCCACAUUGGGACUGAGACACGGCCCAAACUCCUACGGGAGGCAGCAGUGGGGAAUAUUGCACAAUGGGCGAAAGCCUGAUGCAGCAACGCCGCGUGAGUGAAGAAGUAUCUCGGUAUGUAAAGCUCUAUCAGCAGGGAAGAAAAUGACGGUACCUAACUAAGAAGCCCCGGCUAACUACGUGCCAGCAGCCGCGGU
This 513-nucleotide ribosomal RNA is filed under the name uncultured Gram-positive bacterium. RNAcentral describes it as "bacterial SSU rRNA". It matches the Rfam family "Bacterial small subunit ribosomal RNA", at positions 8 to 521 of the family's 1533-position model. The record is from RNAcentral.